This 452-nucleotide ribosomal RNA is filed under the name uncultured bacterium. RNAcentral's name for it is "bacterial SSU rRNA". It matches the Rfam family "Bacterial small subunit ribosomal RNA", at positions 365 to 807 of the family's 1533-position model. The record is from RNAcentral.
UUCGCAAUGCCCGAAAGGGUGACGAAGCGACGCCGCGUGUGGGAAGAAGGCCUUCGGGUUGUAAACCACUGUCGGGAGUUAAGAAAUGCAAGGAUAUUAAUAGUGUCUUUGCUUGACUAAGGCUCCGGAGGAAGCCGCGGCUAACUCUGUGCCAGCAGCCGCGGUAAUACAGAGACGGCAAGCGUUGUUCGGAAUUAUUGGGCGUAAAGAGCACGUAGGCGGCUAUGUAAGUCGGUUGUGAAAGCCUUCCGCUCAACGGGAGAACAGCAUCCGAUACUACAUGGCUUGAGUGCGGGAGGGGAGAGUGGAACUUCUGGUGGAGCGGUGAAAUGCGUAGAUAUCAGAAGGAACGCCGGCGGCGAAAGCGGCUCUCUGGCCCAUAACUGACGCUGAGUGUGCGAAAGCUAGGGGAGCAAACGGGAUUAGAUACCCCGGUAGUCCUAGCCGUAAAC